Molecule: ribosomal RNA, 494 nt
Filed under: uncultured bacterium
Lineage: Bacteria
Description: partial 16S ribosomal RNA
Rfam family: Bacterial small subunit ribosomal RNA
Source: RNAcentral
GACGAACGCUGGCGGCGUGCUUAACACAUGCAAGUCGAACGGAAAGGCCUGCUUUCCCUUGUGGAUUGCGGGUACUCGAGUGGCGAACGGGUGAGUAACACGUGAGUGAUCUGCCCCCAACUUGGGUAUAAGCCUGGGAAACUGGGUCUAAUUCCCGAUAGGACUGCAGGGUGGUGCCUGUGGUGGAAAACGAUUUUCUAGUGGUUGGGGAUGAGCUCGCGGCCUAUCAGCUUGUUGGUGGGGUAAUGGCCUACCAAGGCGGCGACGGGUAGCCGGCCUGAGAGGGUGGACGGGCACAGUGGGACUGAGAAACGGCCCAGACUCAUACGGGAGGCAGCAGUGGGGAAGAUUGGACAAUGGGCGGAAGCCUGAUGAAGCGACGACGCGUGGGGGAUGACGGCCUGCGGGUUGUAAACUCCUUUCGACCGCGAGGAAGCCACCUGGUUGGAAGGGUGGUGACGGUAGUGGUAGAAGAAGCACCGGCUAACUACGUG